ACACAUACUCCUACCUUACAGCCACAACAACAGCCCCAUCUGUCUAUCCCUUGGUCUCUGGCUGCGGUGACACAUCUGGAUCCUCGGUGACACUGGGAUGCCUUGUCAAAGGCUACUUCCCUGAGCCGGUAACCGUAAAAUGGAACUAUGGAGCUCUGUCCAGCGGUGUGCGCACCGUCUCAUCUGUCCUGCAGUCUGGGUUCUACUCCCUCAGCAGCUCGGUGACUGUCCCCUCCAGCACCUGGCCCAGCCAGACUGUCACCUGCAACGUAGCCCACCCAGCCAGCAAGACUGAGUUGAUCAAGAGAAUCGAGCCUAGAAUAUCCAAGCCCAGACCCCCCACAGAUCCAUGCCCAUCUGCUAUCUCCUUGGGUGGACCAUCCGUCUUCAUCUUCCCCCCAAAGCCCAAGGAUGCACUCAUGAUCUCCCUGACCCCCAAGGUUACCUGUGUGGUGGUGGAUGUGAGCGAGGAUGACCCAGAUGUCCAUGUCAGCUGGUUUGUGGACAACAUAGAAGUACACACAGCUUGGACGCAGCCCCGUGAAGCUCAGUCCAACAGUACCUUCCGAGUGGUCAGUGCCCUCCCCAUUCAGCACCAGGACUGGAUGAGGGGCAAGGAGUUCAAAUGCAAGGUCAACAACAAAGCCCUCCCAGCCCCCAUCGAGAGAACCAUCUCAAAACCCAAAGGAAGAGCCCGGACACCUCAAGUAUACGCUAUGCCUCCACCUCGUGAACAAAUGUCUAAGAAGAAGGUUAGUCUGACCUGCAUGGUCACCAACUUCUUCCCUGAAGCCAUCAGCGUGGAGUGGGAAAAGAACGGAGAGCUGGAGCAGGAUUUCAAGAACACCCCACCCAUCCUGGACUCCGAUGGGACCUACUUCCUCUACAGCAAGCUCACUGUGGAUGCAGACAGUUGGUUGCACGGAGAAAUUUUUACCUGCUCUGUGGUGCACGAGGCUCUUCAUAACCACCACACACAGAAGAACCUGUCUCGCUCCCCUGGUAAAUGAACACAGCACCUAGUCAGACCUCAGGUCUUAGAAGACACUGAUACCAGCCCUAACCUGUGACCCUAUAAAUAAAGCACCCCGAGAUGGGACCCUGUGAGAUUAUCUUGGUUCUUUACAUGGCACA
Molecule: non-coding RNA, 1134 nt
Organism: Mus pahari (shrew mouse)
Lineage: Eukaryota; Metazoa; Chordata; Mammalia; Rodentia; Muridae
Source: the annotation of a RefSeq genome assembly